UCAGUUCGGAUUGCAGGCUGCAACCCGCCUGCAUGAAGUCGGAAUUGCUAGUAAUCGCGGAUCAGCAUGCCGCGGUGAAUACGUUCCCGGGCCUUGUACACACCGCCCGUCACACCAUGAGAGCCGGGAACACCCGAAGUCCGUAGUCUAACCAUUAAGGAGGACGCGGCCGAAGGUGGGUUUGGUAAUUGGGGUGAAGUCGUAACAAGGUAAC
This 214-nucleotide ribosomal RNA is filed under the name uncultured bacterium. RNAcentral's name for it is "partial 16S ribosomal RNA". It matches the Rfam family "Bacterial small subunit ribosomal RNA", at positions 1288 to 1500 of the family's 1533-position model. The record is from RNAcentral.